Molecule: unclassified non-coding RNA, 378 nt
Filed under: plant metagenome
Description: partial contains 5.8S ribosomal RNA, internal transcribed spacer 2, and large subunit ribosomal RNA
Rfam family: 5.8S ribosomal RNA (bases 1-105)
Source: RNAcentral
GAAAUGCGAUAAGUAAUGUGAAUUGCAGAAUUCAGUGAAUCAUCGAAUCUUUGAACGCACCUUGCGCUCCUUGGUAUUCCUUGGAGCAUGCCUGUUUGAGUAUCAUGAAAUCUUCAAAUUAAAUCUUUUGUUAACUCAAUUGGUUUCUACUUUGGUAUUGGAGGUCUUUGCAGCUUCACACCUGCUCCUCUUUGUUCAUUAGCUGGAUCUCAGUGUUAUGCUUGGUUCCACUCGGCGUGAUAAGUUAUCUAUCGCUGAGGAUACUGUAAAAGGUGGCCAAGGUAAAUGCAGAUGAACCGCUUCUAAUAGUCCAUUGACUUGGACAAUACUUUUAUGAUCUGAUCUCAAAUCAGGUAGGACUACCCGCUGAACUUAAGC